GCGCCUUUUGAAGUUUCUUCAUGAGAGAUUCUGGGAAAUAUCUCAUCUGAAACAGCGCCCUGAAUCAGACCCAGAGCUUUAGCAUCCUUCAUGAGCACCUCAACAAGCGUCAUCCUCCCAGCACCACUAGACUCUUCUUUGUCUUUCUUCUUCGCCUCAGAUUCAUCAAUCUUCUUCAGAUCUGAUUCAUCGAAACCCUUUUCAACCAGAUUCCACAAUCCGUAGGACUUGAAAAUGGUCUUCAUCUUAAUACUCCAGAACUCAUAAUUUUCACCAUUGAAAAUUGGUGCUCUCACCUCACCACUACCCGAUCCUGCCAUGUUAGACUCAGAUCGCAAUCAACUCG
Molecule: long non-coding RNA, 346 nt
Filed under: Malus domestica (apple)
Lineage: Eukaryota; Viridiplantae; Streptophyta; Magnoliopsida; Rosales; Rosaceae
Description: long non-coding RNA (MDOM_LNC014845)
Source: RNAcentral